Molecule: ribosomal RNA, 369 nt
Filed under: uncultured bacterium
Lineage: Bacteria
Description: bacterial SSU rRNA
Rfam family: Bacterial small subunit ribosomal RNA
Source: RNAcentral
UAAUACAGAGGGAGCGAGCGUUAUCCGGAAUGAUUGGGCGUAAAGCGUCUGUAGGUGGUUUAGAAAGUCUACUGUCAAAUACCAAGGCUCAACCUUGGGCAGGCAGUAGAGUACUUUUAGACUAGAGUGUGGUAGAGGUAGAGGGAAUCCCUAGCGUAACAGUGAAAUGUGUAGAUUUUAGGGAGAACACCAGCGGCGAAGGCGCUCUACUGGGCCAAGACUGACACUGAGAGACGAAAGCUAGGGGAGCGAAUAGGAUUAGAUACCCUAGUAGUCCUAGCUGUAAACGAUGGAAACUAAGUGCUGCCGAAUGCAGUGCUGUAGCUAACGCGUUAAGUUUCCCGCCUGGGGAGUAUGCUCGCAAGAGUG